GACGAACGCUGGCGGCAUGCCUAACACAUGCGAGUCGAACGAGACCUCCGGGCCUAGUGGCGCACGGGGGCGUAACGCGGGGGAACCUGCACUUAGGUACGGAAUAACUGCCUGAGAGGGGUGCUAAUGCCGGAUAGUGUCAUCGGACCUAAGAUUUAUUGCUUCUGGGUGGGCCCGCGUUGGUUUAGGUAGUUGGGAGGGUAAAAGCCUGCCAAGGCGGCGAUCCAGGGCUGGUCGGAGAGGAUGCUCAGCAGCACUGGGACGCGGACACGGCCCCGACUCGUACGGGAGGCAGCAGAGGGGAAUAUUGGACAAGGGGCGAAAGCCUGAUCCAGCAAGGCCGCGUGAGUGAUGAAGGCCUUAGGGUUGUAAAGCUCUUUUACCCGGGAUGAUAAUGACAGUACCGGGAGAAUAAGCUCCGGCAACCUCCGG
RNAcentral lists this ribosomal RNA (432 nucleotides) under uncultured bacterium. RNAcentral's name for it is "partial 16S ribosomal RNA". It matches the Rfam family "Bacterial small subunit ribosomal RNA", at positions 28 to 506 of the family's 1533-position model. The record is from RNAcentral.